AUGAGGGCCCCCACUCAGCUCCUGGGGCUCCUGCUGCUCUGGCUCCCAGGUGCUAGAUGUGACAUCCAGAUGACACAGUCUCCAGAAUCCCUGUCUGCAUCUGUAGGAGACUCAGUCACCAUCACUUGCCAGGCCAGUCAGGAUAUUGGCAAUGCAUUAAGCUGGUAUCAGCAGAAACCAGGAAAAGCUCCUAAGCUUCUAGUCUAUGCAGCAUCAAGUUUGUACACUGGGGUCUCCUCGAGGUUCAGUGGCAGUAGAUCUGGGACAGAUUUCACUCUCACAAUCACCAGCCUGGAGGCUGAAGAUAUUGCAACUUAUUAUUGUCAACAGUAUUAUAAUAACCCUCCCACAGUGUUACAAGUCAUAACAUAA
Non-coding RNA from Galeopterus variegatus (Sunda flying lemur), 372 nucleotides. The record is from the annotation of a RefSeq genome assembly. Lineage: Eukaryota; Metazoa; Chordata; Mammalia; Dermoptera; Cynocephalidae.